RNAcentral lists this ribosomal RNA (492 nucleotides) under uncultured bacterium. RNAcentral describes it as "partial 16S ribosomal RNA". It matches the Rfam family "Bacterial small subunit ribosomal RNA", at positions 29 to 507 of the family's 1533-position model. The record is from RNAcentral.
AGUGAACGCUGGCGGUAGGCCUAACACAUGCAAGUCGAACGGCAGCACAGUAAGAGCUUGCUCUUACGGGUGGCGAGUGGCGGACGGGUGAGGAAUACAUCGGAAUCUACUUUUUCGUGGGGGAUAACGUAGGGAAACUUACGCUAAUACCGCAUACGACCUACGGGUGAAAGCAGGGGAUCUUCGGACCUUGCGCGAUUGAAUGAGCCGAUGUCGGAUUAGCUAGUUGGCGGGGGAAAGGCCAACCAAGGCGACGAUCCGUAGCUGGUCUGAGAGGAUGAUCAGCCACACUGGAACUGAGACACGGUCCAGACUCCUACGGGAGGCAGCAGUGGGGAAUAUUGGACAAUGGGCGAAAGCCUGAUCCAGCAAUACCGCGUGGGUGAAGAAGGCCUUCGGGUUGUAAAGCCCUUUUGUUGGGAAAGAAAAGCAGCAGGUUAAUACCCCGCUGUUCUGACGGUACCCAAAGAAUAAGCACCGGCUAACUUCGUG